RNAcentral lists this ribosomal RNA (686 nucleotides) under uncultured bacterium. Its description in RNAcentral is "bacterial SSU rRNA". It matches the Rfam family "Bacterial small subunit ribosomal RNA", at positions 32 to 715 of the family's 1533-position model. The record is from RNAcentral.
AACGCUAGCUACAGGCUUAACACAUGCAAGUCGAGGGGUAGCAGGGUAGCAAUACCGCUGACGACCGGCGCACGGGUGAGUAACACGUAUCCAACCUUCCCAUAACUCGGGGAUAGCCUUUCGAAAGAAAGAUUAAUACCCGAUAGUACUUAAGAAAGGCAUCUUUUUUAAGUUAAAGAUUUAUUGGUUAUGGAUGGGGAUGCGUUCCAUUAGAUAGUUGGUGAGGUAACGGCUCACCAAGUCUUCGAUGGAUAGGGGUUCUGAGAGGAAGGCCCCCCACAUUGGUACUGAGACACGGACCAAACUCCUACGGGAGGCAGCAGUGAGGAAUAUUGGUCAAUGGGCGAGAGCCUGAACCAGCCAAGUAGCGUGAAGGAUGAAGGUCCUAUGGAUUGUAAACUUCUUUUAUAGUAAAAUAAAGUGAUCCACGUGUGGAUUUUUGUAUGUAUACUAUGAAUAAGGAUCGGCUAACUCCGUGCCAGCAGCCGCGGUAAUACGGAGGAUCCGAGCGUUAUCCGGAUUUAUUGGGUUUAAAGGGUGCGUAGGCGGAAUAAUAAGUCAGUUGUGAAAGUUUGCGGCUCAACCGUAAAAUUGCAGUUGAUACUGUUAUUCUUGAGUGUACAUAAGGUAGGCGGAAUUCGUGGUGUAGCGGUGAAAUGCUUAGAUAUCACGAAGAACUCCGAUUG